Molecule: transfer RNA, 61 nt
Filed under: Histeridae sp. BMNH 1274738
Lineage: Eukaryota; Metazoa; Arthropoda; Insecta; Coleoptera; Histeridae
Description: tRNA-Cys
Source: RNAcentral
GGUCUUGUAGUCAAUUAUGACACUAAAUUGCAAAUUUAGAGGUGGUGGUAUCCUAAGGCCU